RNAcentral lists this ribosomal RNA (468 nucleotides) under uncultured bacterium. RNAcentral describes it as "partial 16S ribosomal RNA". It matches the Rfam family "Bacterial small subunit ribosomal RNA", at positions 28 to 507 of the family's 1533-position model. The record is from RNAcentral.
GACGAACGCUGGCGGCGUGCUUAACACAUGCAAGUCGAACGGAAAGGCCCUGCUUUUGUGGGGUGCUCGAGUGGCGAACGGGUGAGUAGCACGUGAGUAACCUGCCCUUGACUUUGGGAUAACUUCAGGAAACUGAGGCUAAUACCGGAUAGGAGCUCCUGCUGCAUGGUGGGGGUUGGAAAGUUUCGGCGGUUGGGGAUGGACUCGCGGCUUAUCAGCUUGUUGGUGGGGUAGUGGCUUACCAAGGCUUUGACGGGUAGCCGGCCUGAGAGGGUGACCGGCCACAUUGGGACUGAGAUACGGCCCAGACUCCUACGGGAGGCAGCAGUGGGGAAUAUUGCACAAUGGGCGGAAGCCUGAUGCAGCAACGCCGCGUGCGGGAUGACGGCCUUCGGGUUGUAAACCGCUUUCGCCUGUGACGAAGCGUGAGUGACGGUAAUGGGUAAAGAAGCACCGGCUAACUACGUG